GAUGAACGCUCGCGGCAGGCCUAAUACAUGCAAGUCGAACGGGUGGUCGCAAGACCACUAGUGGCGCACGGGUGCGUAACGCGUAACCAACCUGCCCCGAUCUGGGGGAUAGCCCGCCGAAAGACGGAUUAAUACCGCAUAUACCCGCAGCCUGGCAUCAGGCAACGGGGAAAGAUUUAUUGGAUCGGGAUGGGGUGGCGUGACAUGAGCGAGUUGGCGUGGUAAGGGCCCACCAAGGCGACGAGGUCUAGGGGAACUGAGAGGGUGAUCCCCCACACUGGCACUGAGAUCCGGGCCAGACUCGUGCGGGAGGCAGCAGUAGGGAAUAUUGGGCAGUGGGCGAGAGCCUGACCCAGCGAUGCAGCGUGGCGGAUGAAGGCCUUCUGGGUUGUAAACGGCUUUUAUCAGGGAAGAAAAAGACAUUGCGAGGUACACUGACGGUACCUGAGGAAUAAGCACCGGCUAACUCCGUG
RNAcentral lists this ribosomal RNA (473 nucleotides) under uncultured bacterium. Its description in RNAcentral is "partial 16S ribosomal RNA". It matches the Rfam family "Bacterial small subunit ribosomal RNA", at positions 28 to 507 of the family's 1533-position model. The record is from RNAcentral.